GUAUAGCCUUUCAGGUUGAUUCUGUGGAGCGUGAGGAGUUAAACGCCUUCAUGCCUGCAUAUUCGUGCUCUUGGGUGUACUUGCUCGUGUGGUUGGUUAACAUCACUUUCGGUUAUCAUCAAAUGGUUGGAGGAAUGGAGCUUCCAUUUCGAUUGAAGUGUUAUAGCCUUUGGCAGAUGUGAUGAUCGCGAUUGAGGAUUGCAACGGAUACCCUUCGGGGCUACCUGUCUGAUCUCUGAUCGUUGCUCUGGUGCCGAAAGCUUGCUUACGGUUAUCAAAGUCGAUGGUCAACAGGUUAGAAUGGGUUAAAUUCGUUAAGGAUGUUGACGUA
Molecule: ribosomal RNA, 331 nt
Filed under: uncultured Glomeromycotina
Lineage: Eukaryota; Fungi; Glomeromycota
Description: eukaryotic LSU rRNA
Source: RNAcentral